This 394-nucleotide ribosomal RNA is filed under the name Bachia bicolor. RNAcentral describes it as "partial 12S ribosomal RNA". It matches the Rfam family "Bacterial small subunit ribosomal RNA", at positions 781 to 1397 of the family's 1533-position model. The record is from RNAcentral. Lineage: Eukaryota; Metazoa; Chordata; Lepidosauria; Squamata; Gymnophthalmidae.
GAUACCCCACUAUGCCAGGCCUAAAUAUGACCCUGUCCGCCAGAAAAUUACAAGUGAAAGCUUAAAACUCAAAAGACUUGACGGUGUUCCAACCUACCUAGAGGAGCCUGUUUCAUAAUCGAUAACCCACGAUCAACCUAACCUUCUUUUGUAAAAUCAGCCUAUAUACCGCCGUCGCCAGCCUACCUUCCAAAAGCAUUAAAGUAGGCUCAACAGUUCACACUAAAAAGUCAGGUCAAGGUGUAGCUAAUAAGAAGGAGACAAUGGGCUACAUUAUUUAAAUUAAAUAACACGAAUUAACCCAUGAAACAUGUAAUAUAAAGGCGGAUUUAGAAGUAAAUUAAACAAGAAUAUUUAAUUUAAUUUAGCUCUGGAACAUGUACACACCGCCCGU